This 465-nucleotide ribosomal RNA is filed under the name uncultured bacterium. RNAcentral describes it as "partial 16S ribosomal RNA". It matches the Rfam family "Bacterial small subunit ribosomal RNA", at positions 28 to 507 of the family's 1533-position model. The record is from RNAcentral.
GACGAACGCUGGCGGCGUGCUUAACACAUGCAAGUCGAACGGAAAGGCCCUGCUUGCAGGGUACUCGAGUGGCGAACGGGUGAGUAACACGUGGGUGAUCUGCCCUGCACUUCGGGAUAAGCCUGGGAAACUGGGUCUAUUACCGGAUAGGAGCCAUUUUUAGUGUGAUGGUUGGAAAGUUUUUUCGGUGUAGGAUGAGCUCGCGGCCUAUCAGCUUGUUGGUGGGGUAAUGGCCUACCAAGGCGGCGACGGGUAGCCGGCCUGAGAGGGUGGACGGCCACAUUGGGACUGAGAUACGGCCCAGACUCCUACGGGAGGCAGAAGUGGGGAAUAUUGCACAAUGGGCGCAAGCCUGAUGAAGCGACGCCGCGUGGGGGAGGACGGACUUCGGGUUGUAAACUCAUUUCGCUAGGGACGAAGCUUUUUGUGACGGUACCUAGAUAAGAAGCACCGGCUAACUACGUG